Molecule: transfer RNA, 76 nt
Filed under: Desulfoprunum sp.
Lineage: Bacteria; Pseudomonadati; Thermodesulfobacteriota; Desulfobulbia; Desulfobulbales; Desulfobulbaceae
Description: tRNA-Thr
Rfam family: tRNA
About the family: Transfer RNA (tRNA) molecules are approximately 80 nucleotides in length.
Source: RNAcentral
GCCCAUGUAGCUCAGGUGGUAGAGCGCAUCCUUGGUAAGGAUGAGGUCAACGGUUCGACUCCGUUCAUGGGCUCCA